RNAcentral lists this ribosomal RNA (505 nucleotides) under uncultured bacterium. RNAcentral's name for it is "bacterial SSU rRNA". It matches the Rfam family "Bacterial small subunit ribosomal RNA", at positions 29 to 524 of the family's 1533-position model. The record is from RNAcentral.
AGUGAACGCUGGCGGCAGGCCUAAUACAUGCAAGUCGAACGGCAGCACAGCAGAGCUUGUUCUGUGGGUGGCGAGUGGCGGACGGGUGAGGAAUACAUGGGAAUCUGCCCAGUCGUGGGGAUAACGUAGGGAAACUUACGCUAAUACCGCAUGCGCCCUUCGGGGAAAGCCGGGGACCUUCGGGCCUGGCGCGAUUGGAUGAGCCCAUGUCGGAUUAGCUAGUUGGCGGGGUAAUGGCCCACCAAGGCGACGAUCCGUAGCUGGUCUGAGAGGAUGAUCAGCCACACUGGAACUGAGACACGGUCCAGACUCCUACGGGAGGCAGCAGUAGGGAAUAUUGGACAAUGGGCGCAAGCCUGAUCCAGCCAUGCCGCGUGAGUGAAGAAGGCCCUCGGGUUGUAAAGCUCUUUUGUCCGGAAAGAAAAGCGCCGGGUUAAUACCCUGGUGUCCUGACGGUACCGGAAGAAUAAGCACCGGCUAACUUCGUGCCAGCAGCCGCGGUAAU